GGCCCUAUCGUCUAACGGUUUAGGACGGUACCCUCUCAAGGUACAAAUAGGGGUUCGAUUCCCCUUAGGGCUACCA
Molecule: transfer RNA, 76 nt
Filed under: Candidatus Margulisiibacteriota bacterium
Lineage: Bacteria; Bacillati; Candidatus Margulisiibacteriota
Description: tRNA-Glu
Rfam family: tRNA
About the family: Transfer RNA (tRNA) molecules are approximately 80 nucleotides in length.
Source: RNAcentral